RNAcentral lists this ribosomal RNA (3068 nucleotides) under SAR202 cluster bacterium. RNAcentral describes it as "23S ribosomal RNA". It matches the Rfam family "Bacterial large subunit ribosomal RNA". Lineage: Bacteria; Bacillati; Chloroflexota; Dehalococcoidia. The record is from RNAcentral.
GGUCAAGCUACUAAGGGCGCACGGAGGAUGCCUUGGCACCAAAGGCCGAUGAAGGGCGUGGCAAGACUGCGAUAAGCCCCGGUUUGCUGUCUAGCAAGCUCACCCGGGGAUACCCGAAUGAGGUAACUCAUCCCGACUUGUCGGGAUACUCGACCCGUGAGGGUUGAGAGGUAAGUGGGCGAACUGAAACAUCUCAGUAGCCCGAGGAACAGAAAUCAACCGAGAUUCUCCUAGUAGUGGCGAACGAACGGGGAAGAGCCUAAACCACCGCGGCUUCACGGGCUGGAGCCCCAUGCCCGGUGGUGUCGUAAGGCGUGAUGUGGAGGGACUCCAGUCCUUCCGGAGAGUAAGAAACCAGUUUCCUAGCAGAAGAACGCUGGAAAGCUUCGCCAUAGACGGUGAAAGCCCGGUAGGCGAAAGGGAGCUGGCUCUCUGGUCAUGUCCUUGAGUACGACGGGACACGUGGAAUCCUGUCGGAAUUCGCGGGGCCCACCCUGCAAGGCUAAACACCUUUGGUGACCGAUAGCGUACAAGUACCGUGAGGGAAAGGUGAAAAGAACCCCGUGAGGGGAGUGAAAUAGAACUGAAACCGUGCGCCUACAAACCGUGGAAGUCCCGACUUGUCGGGAUGACCGCGUGCCUAUUGAAGAAUGAGCCGGCGAGUCAAUUCUGCGCAGCCAGGUUAAGGUAUUAAGUACCGGAGCCGUAGCGAAAGCGAGUCUGAACAGGGCGAAAACCACCUCUGGAGGAAGCAGUCGCCAGUGUGCCUAGUGAAGGCCUGAAGUCCCAACGCAAGGCGGGAUGGAUGGCUGGAGCGAAGCGCAAUGGUCGGCUGUGAAAUCCUUUGCGUGAGGGUUGCGUGGAUUGGACCCGAAACCGUGUGAGCUACCCAUGGUCAGGCUGAAGCGAAGCUAACCCUUCGUGGAGGGCCGAACUGAUCAGUGUUGCAAAACUGUCGGAAGAACUGUGGGUAGGGGUGAAAUGCCAAACGAACACGGAGAUAGCUGGUUCUCCCCGAAAUGCAUAUAGGUGCAGCCUCGGGAGUUACAUCGCGGAGGUAGAGCACUCGAUGGGCUAGGGGGCGUGAGCUUACCAAACCCAACGAAACUCCGAAUGCCGCGAUGGGUACCCCGGGAGUGAGACUGCGAGGGAUAAGCUUCGUGGUCUAAAGGGAAACAACCCAGAUCGCCAGCUAAGGUCCCCAAAUAUGGACUAAGUGUGAAAGGAAGUUGGAUCGCUCAGACAGCCAGGAGGUUGGCUUAGAAGCAGCCACCCUUUAAAGAGUGCGUAAUAGCUCACUGGUCGAGGGAUCCAGCGCCGAAAAUAAGCGGGGCUAAAGUCCAUUACCGAAGCUGCGGGAUCUCGACGUGAAGUCGGGAUCGGUAGGGGAGCGUUCUCAGGGGUGCGAAGGUGGAUCGUAAGGUCUGCUGGACCGCUGAGAAGUGAGAAUGCCGGCAUAAGUAGCGACAAUCCAGGUGAGAAUCCUGGACACCGGAAGUCUGAGGUUUCCUACGCAACGUUGAUCGGCGUAGGGUUAGGCGGCCCUAAGGCGUAGCCGAAAGGCGAACCCGAUGGACAGCUGGUCAAAAUUCCAGCUCCGCUGAUGAACCGUUUGAGAUACAUGGGGGGAGCGGGCAGGUAGGCGUUGCAUACCUAUUGGACAUGGUGUGUGCGCCCUUGAAGGCCGCAAGGCUGAGGGGGGUGCGAACCCUGAGGGAAUACCUCGGGGGACGAAGCUGAACCUAGACCGCCAAGAAAAGCCCGUGUAUCGAGGCUCAUUGGUUGACCGUACCGCAAACCGACACAGGUGGACUGGGGCUAAAAUCCCAAGGUGAACGAGAGAACCAUCGUUAAGGAACUCGGCAAUCUAGCCCCGUAACUUAGGGAGAAGGGGCGCCCUCGAUGUCUCAGGCUUCGCGCCAAAAGGCGUCGGGGGCCGCAGUGACAAGGCUCAAGUGGCUGUUUAACAAAAACACAGGUCCGUGCUAAGGCGAAAGCCGAUGUAUACGGGCUGACAUGUGCCCAGUGCCGGAAGGUUAAGGGGAGGGGUUUACGCCUCGAACUGAAGCCCCGGUGAACGGCGGCCGUAACUAUAACGGUCCUAAGGUAGCGAAGUCCCUUGUCGGGUAAGUUCCGACCCGCACGAAACAUGUAACAACUUGAGCGCUGUCUCGACGGUGGACUCGGUGAAAUUGCAGGACCCGUGAAGAUGCGGGUUUCCCGCGGCAGGACAAAAAGACCCCGUGGAGCUUUACUGCACCCUGGCAUUGGUUCGUGGUUAAGGAUGUGUAGGAUAGGCGGGAGGCUACGAAGGUUCGGCGCUAGCCGAGCUGGAGCCAACGGUGAAAUACCGCCCUUCCUUUGCCUUGACCCUAACCCCGAUUAAUCGGGGAACAGUGUCUGGCGGGCAGUUUGACUGGGGCGGUCGCCUCCCAAAGAGUAACGGAGGCGCCCAAAGGUCACCUCAGGCUGGAUGGAAAUCAGCCGCAGAGUGUAUUGGCAUAAGGUGGCUUGACUGCGAGACAUACAAGUCGAGCAGGGACGAAAGUCGGGCAAAGUGAUCCCACGGUACCGCGUGGCAGGGCCGUGGCUUAACGGAUAAAAGCUACCCCGGGGAUAACAGGCUGAUCUCGCCCAAGAGUUCACAUCGACGGCGAGGUUUGGCACCUCGAUGUCGGCUCGUCGCAUCCUGGGGCUGAAGGCGGUCCCAAGGGUCCGGCUGUUCGCCGGUUAAAGCGGCACGCGAGCUGGGUUCAGAGCGUCGUGAGACAGCUCGGUCUCUAUCCGCCGUGGGCGCAGGAAACUUGAGGGAUGCCACUCUUAGUACGAGAGGACCAGAGCGGACAGACCUCUGGUGUGCCGGUUGUUACGCCAGUAGCAUCGCCGGGUAGCCAAGUCUGGAUGGGAUAAGCGCUGAAAGCAUCUAAGUGCGAAGCCCUGCCCAAGAUCAGGUUUCCCAUCGCGCAAGCGAGUAAGGUCCCCGGUAGACUACCGGGUAGAUAGGCCGCAGGUGUAAGGCUGGUAACAGCUUGAGCUGAGCGGUACUAAUAGACCGAGGGCUUGACCCA